RNAcentral lists this ribosomal RNA (254 nucleotides) under uncultured bacterium. RNAcentral describes it as "partial 16S ribosomal RNA". It matches the Rfam family "Bacterial small subunit ribosomal RNA", at positions 524 to 776 of the family's 1533-position model. The record is from RNAcentral.
UACGUAGGGUGCGAGCGUUGUCCGGAAUUAUUGGGCGUAAAGAGCUCGUAGGCGGUGUGUCACGUCGGCCGUGAAAACCUGCAGCUUAACUGUGGGCGUGCGGUCGAUACGGGCAUCACUGGAGUUCGGCAGGGGAGACUGGAAUUCCUGGUGCAGCGGUGAAAUGCGCAGAUAUCGGGAGGAACACCGGUGGCGAAGGCGGUUCUCUGGGCCUUACCUGACGCUGAGGAGCGAAAGCGUGGGGAGCGAACAGG